RNAcentral lists this ribosomal RNA (387 nucleotides) under uncultured bacterium. Its description in RNAcentral is "bacterial SSU rRNA". It matches the Rfam family "Bacterial small subunit ribosomal RNA", at positions 29 to 417 of the family's 1533-position model. The record is from RNAcentral.
AUUGAACGCUGGCGGCAUGCCUUACACAUGCAAGUCGAACGGCAGCACGGGAGCAAUCCUGGUGGCGAGUGGCGAACGGGUGAGUAAUACAUCGGAACGUGCCCAGUAGUGGGGGAUAGCCCGGCGAAAGCCGGAUUAAUACCGCAUACGACCUACGGGUGAAAGCGGGGGAUCGCAAGACCUCGCGCUAUUGGAGCGGCCGAUGGCAGAUUAGCUAGUUGGUGGGGUAAAGGCCCACCAAGGCGACGAUCUGUAGCUGGUCUGAGAGGACGACCAGCCACACUGGGACUGAGACACGGCCCAGACUCCUACGGGAGGCAGCAGUGGGGAAUUUUGGACAAUGGGCGCAAGCCUGAUCCAGCCAUGCCGCGUGCGGGAAGAAGGCCU